This 1098-nucleotide long non-coding RNA is filed under the name Cricetulus griseus (Chinese hamster). RNAcentral's name for it is "lncRNA (ENSCGRG00015037202.1)". The record is from RNAcentral. Lineage: Eukaryota; Metazoa; Chordata; Mammalia; Rodentia; Cricetidae.
UUUAGGAGGAGCAGCUGCAGGGGCCUUACUGUAUGCAACAGCAUGCAACUGGGGCUAGCUGUCUGGGGGUGGCACACUGCCCACUGCAGGACUUGCCGUCCUCCAUGAGGGGCAGAAUAGCAUGCUUCCUCGUUGUGGUUGCAUUUGCCUUGUUCCUGCUGUGGGUGAUAAGACACAAAGGAGGCUGAGCUGUCUGCCCAGAGGGAAAGAGCAAGGAUGGAAAAUUCAUGGGGCAAAUCCUGGUGGUGGCAUCUUACUUAAUGUCUGCAACUGAGGCCCAGCUCUCUGCCCAGAAAAAUUGUCUGCUUGAAGAACAGUGGCAAAAAGACAUCAUCAUGUUAGCCUUUGUUCUGUGAGUAAAAGUUACUAAGACUCACAGCCCAUCAAGUUGCAGAGGAUAAAGUGGCUGUUGCUAUGACAGUGGUUCAGUGCUCAGCCACAAUGUAAGACCAUGACCAAGUAUCUGUCACCCCCUCCAAUGCUCAGAGAAUACAGCAGCAGAAGAGCGGGGUGGAAAGAAAGCCCGAGGAAGACUGGAGUGCUGUACCCAUCUUUAGAGCAAAACAUAGCCUUUACCAUCUUCAAACAGCCUCUCCCCAGCUGCAUGGGCUUUCGGGAGUAUCUGAGCAAGUAGACUAACUUGCUAAUCUUUAGAAGCGGAAUAAAUUUAUGCUAGGAUGGGACUUUUCUGCGGUGCACCUGUUUUAAGGUCAUCCACACUUAUUAAGUUAACACUUCAUCCAAUGCUUCUCUAAGCACGCCCGGUAAACUCAUUGGUUCGCCAAGAGAACAUUCACUUCUGCGGUCUAUUGCUGGUGUCCCAUUUAGAGCAGGCAGUUAUUUGCCCAGUCUCUCUUGGAAAAGUUAACGCAACAACUCUACCCGCAUUAAGCUUGAUUUUCUUCACAUACAGCAGCUAACGCAAAAUUCAGUACUGUACCCAACUUAACGCAAACGUGAAAAUUAAGUUUGAGACAGGAUCUCAGUAUGGAACCGUGGUCGGUUGCCUCCACGUCCUGAAUGCUGAGAUUAGAGACGGGCACCACCACGCCCAGCCCUAAAUCAUUUUUAAGAGCACAACAAGGUCCUCAUAUGAUC